UACAGAGACUGCAAGCGUUAUUCGGAUUCACUGGGCGUAAAGGGUGCGCAGGCGGCCAAGUGUGUUAGGUGUGAAAGCCCGGGGCUUACCCCGGAAUUGCACCUAAAACUACAUGGCUCGAGCAUUGGAGAGGGGAGCAGAAUUCACGGUGUAGCAGUGAAAUGCGUAGAUAUCGUGAGGAAUACCAGAGGCGAAGGCGGCUCCCUGGACAAUUGCUGACGCUCAGGCACGAAAGCGUGGGGAGCAAACAGG
Molecule: ribosomal RNA, 252 nt
Filed under: uncultured bacterium
Lineage: Bacteria
Description: partial 16S ribosomal RNA
Rfam family: Bacterial small subunit ribosomal RNA
Source: RNAcentral